CUCUGUUGCAAGAAGACAGUGUCGUUAACCAUAAGUUCCUGGCUAAACUGGGGAGCUGGCAAGAACCAAAGCCCCCCUCUCCCAAAGUGAAAUCCAAAAAGACCCACCACAAGAAAGCUUCCUUGGAUGUUCCAGCUGUGGAUGGCUUACGGAAUCAUUCUCCCCUCAGCAGCCGGACUAGGACCCCAAUUGCCUCCCCGAGACAAAGCAGAAAAUUCUAAUUACUGCUGGAUCCCAAGACAUAACAAG
Long non-coding RNA from Euleptes europaea (tarantolino), 249 nucleotides. RefSeq lists it as uncharacterized. NCBI's taxonomy places the organism in Eukaryota, Metazoa, Chordata, Lepidosauria, Squamata, Sphaerodactylidae. The transcript has 3 exons. The record is from RefSeq and is a predicted model, not a curated record.